RNAcentral lists this ribosomal RNA (425 nucleotides) under uncultured bacterium. RNAcentral describes it as "partial 16S ribosomal RNA". It matches the Rfam family "Bacterial small subunit ribosomal RNA", at positions 354 to 796 of the family's 1533-position model. The record is from RNAcentral.
GUUAGGAAUAUUGGACAAUGGGCGAAAGCCUGAUCCAGCCAUGCCGCGUGAACGAUGAAGGCCUUCGGGUUGUAAAGUUCUUUAGCCGAUGAUUAUAAUGACUGUAGUCGGAAAAUAAGCCCCGGCUAACUUCGUGCCAGCAGCCGCGGUAAUACGAAGGGGGCGAGCGUUAUUCGGAAUCACUGGGCGUAAAGCGUGCGUAGGCGGUUUUGUAAGUUAGGAGUGAAAGCCCAGGGCUCAACCUUGGAAUUGCUCUUAAAACUGCAAGGCUCGAAUCUCGGAGAGGAUAGCGGAAUUUCCAGUGUAGCAGUGAAAUGCGUAGAUAUUGGAAGGAACACCAGUGGCGUAAGAGGCUAUCUGGACGAGUAUUGACGCUGAGGCACGAAAGCGUGGGGAUCAAACAGGAUUAGAAACCCUAGUAGUCC